AGUGAACGCUGGCGGUAGGCCUAACACAUGCGAGUCGAACGGCAGCACAGUAAGAGCUUGCUCUUACGGGUGGCGAGUGGCGGACGGGUGAGGAAUACAUCGGAAUCUACUUUUUCGUGGGGGAUAACGUAGGGAAACUUACGCUAAUACCGCAUACUACCUACGGGUGAAAGCAGGGGAUCUUCGGACCUUGCGCGAUUGAAUGAGCCGAUGUCGGAUUAGCUAGUUGGCGGGGUAAAGGCCCACCAAGGCGACGAUCCGUAGCUGGUCUGAGAGGAUGAUCAGCCACACUGGAACUGAGACACGGUCCAGACUCCUACGGGAGGCAGCAGUGGGGAAUAUUGGACAAUGGGCGCAAGCCUGAUCCAGCCAUACCGCGUGAGUGAAGAAGGCCUUCGGGUUGUAAAGCCCUUUUGUUGGGAAAGAAAAGCAGCAGGUUAAUACCCCGCUGUUCUGACGGUACCCAAAGAAUAAGCACCGGCUAACUUCGUG
RNAcentral lists this ribosomal RNA (492 nucleotides) under uncultured bacterium. RNAcentral's name for it is "partial 16S ribosomal RNA". It matches the Rfam family "Bacterial small subunit ribosomal RNA", at positions 29 to 507 of the family's 1533-position model. The record is from RNAcentral.